RNAcentral lists this ribosomal RNA (577 nucleotides) under uncultured Ectothiorhodospiraceae bacterium. RNAcentral describes it as "bacterial SSU rRNA". It matches the Rfam family "Bacterial small subunit ribosomal RNA", at positions 97 to 670 of the family's 1533-position model. The record is from RNAcentral. Lineage: Bacteria; Pseudomonadati; Pseudomonadota; Gammaproteobacteria; Chromatiales; Ectothiorhodospiraceae.
GGCGGACGGGUGAGUAAUACUUAGGAAUCUGCCCAGUAGUGGGGGACAACUCGGGGAAACUCGAGCUAAUACCGCAUACGCCCUACGGGGGAAAGCGGGGGAUCUUCGGACCUCGCGCUAUUGGAUGAGCCUAAGUCGGAUUAGCUUGUUGGUGGGGUAAAGGCCUACCAAGGCGACGAUCCGUAGCUGGUCUGAGAGGACGAUCAGCCACACUGGGACUGAGACACGGCCCAGACUCCUACGGGAGGCAGCAGUGGGGAAUAUUGGACAAUGGGCGCAAGCCUGAUCCAGCAAUGCCGCGUGUGUGAAGAAGGCCUGCGGGUUGUAAAGCACUUUCAGUAGAGAAGAAAAGCUUAGGGUUAAUAUCCCUGAGUCUUGACGUAACCUACAGAAGAAGCACCGGCUAACUCCGUGCCAGCAGCCGCGGUAAUACGGAGGGUGCGAGCGUUAAUCGGAAUUACUGGGCGUAAAGCGCGCGUAGGCGGCUAAGUAAGUCGGAUGUGAAAGCCCAGGGCUUAACCUUGGAAUUGCAUUCGAUACUGCUUGGCUAGAGUAUGGUAGAGGGAAGUGGAAUUUC